This 3367-nucleotide long non-coding RNA is filed under the name Apis dorsata (giant honeybee). RNAcentral's name for it is "uncharacterized LOC116186444". Lineage: Eukaryota; Metazoa; Arthropoda; Insecta; Hymenoptera; Apidae. The record is from RNAcentral.
UAUUUCGAAAAAUAGCGUGAUGAAAAACGAAAAGAAUUAAUCAAAUUAAAGGGAAUUGCAUUUAUCAUUAUUAUUUCAUAUUAUUUACCAUUAUUUAUUUCCUUCCAUUUAAUUUAAUUAUGUCGGGCAUAAAAAUAUCCAACGAUGUAGAAUUUUCCUUAAUACGAAACGUUAUUUAAUUCCAUUUUGUUUAAUUAAAAUAUCGACCGGGGACAAAAGAAAGGCUGAGCGCGAUGGGGAAAAAAAAACCAAAAAAAAAAAAAAAAAAAAAAAACAAAAAUAUCGUCGCACGAAAAUCUAGCCGCGAGCUUUUUCUCUUGCGAUAUAUAUUUUUAAAAAUGCUUUUAUUCUCGUGUAACCGCAAUAAAGUACAGUAAAUUUGAAAACAGUAUCCGAUCGGUACAUUCUAUUCUCAACGUUACUAUGUUAUUACGCGAAACGAAAUUCCGAAAUAGUUUUAAUAUUACGUAAACCAACGAGCUCAGGCGAAACUGCAUUGAUCCAGUAUGCGAAACGCGAAACUUUUCCCAUUGACUGUACUCUCUCUUCCAUAUCUACCAACUUGUCGCUCGGCCUGUACCUUGAAAUAGAAAUGAUUAAACUUUUAAUAACUGAUACGUCAGUUUGCUCGCUCGGUAACAUUGUGUUUUAUUAUACAAAGUAUAAUAACCAUAAUCAAUCGAGUCGUUCAAUUUAAAAAGUGACGUGUUAUUUUUUUUUUUUUCUAUUUAUUGUUAUUUAUUUUUUAACGUCGCAAUUAUUACUCUCGUUAUUGGUUUCCCUAUAUAUUUUCAUGAUAAAGUCAUAUUUUUUUUACUACUAAGUAUUGAAUACAAGCAAUGUUUGUUAUAUCAUUGCUAUGAUUGAUUUUAUUCGAGAAAAUAUUCGUAAUAUUUCUUGUUCUUUUUUUUUUUUUUUUUUUUUUUUUUUUAUUUUCGAAUUUCAAAUUUAAAAGGUAAUAAGAAUAGCAAUAAAUUUGUUUGCAUUCGAUUAUAUUCAAAACGCGAAUCUUUCAUCCUUUUCUCGUUUUUUCGAAAUCUUUCUUGAAUAUCGUGUUUUAUGUAUGGGUAUCGUGAAGUUAAGUCUUUUAUCGAUAUAGAAGCCGCACUUUAGUACUUAAUAAUACUGCAGGAAAACUUCUCUCGAAAAAUCAAGAACUCGUAAUUCGUACGGUGGAAAAAGAACUAACACGAUAUACAAGUAAUACCUUUUCAAUGGACGAGAAAUAUUUCCAGCAAUAUUUCGUGGACUAUAUUGAAUUUUCUCUGAAAAUACGUUUUUUAACAAUAAUAUAUAAUAUUUGUUUUAUAAAAUCAUCAUAUCUAUCAUAUUUCGUUUUAUAAAAAUUAAUAACGCGUAAGAAACUUCAUAAGAGAAUAUAUAUUUGUUCAAUUAAAAAUAAAAUACGUUAAAAAUAUAUUUUCUUUCACGUUAAAAAAAUAUAAAAAAAUAAUUAUCAUAAAAAUAUAGUUAAUAUACGAUUGAUAAGAAACAUAACUUUUAUUUCGUCUCGUGUAAUUAUUUAUGAAUAUAAAAACGAUGAAGAUUUUAAUUUUUUUUUUUCGAAAAAAAGAAAAAAUAUUUAUAAGUUCAAAAAAUAAUAUUAUCUUAAAAUCAUCAUACGAACUGAUUGUUCGCUAUUAUUAAAACGAUGACUCAUUGAAGUUUGUGCGCAAUAUUUUUUUUUCCAGCACAAGGUUUACAAUACCAUUUAAAUCGCAGUCCAUUAUUCUUUUGUACGGCAACUAAAUUGAAUUAAUUUCCCUGGUAUUCUCGAACGAGUAAGUUCCUCGAUAAAAGUACCCGAUAUAAAUAUGGAUGCAUUGGUCAAAUGAUAAAUUCAAAUUUUGCCCGUUGUUAAAUCAUUUUUCAUGUUUGCUUUUUUAUUUUAAUUCGAUUAAAUAAUUAUUUGGAUUCCAUUCGUAGUGUAUUGAAAAAUAGAAAUUUUCAUUUGCGUUUCGUAAACUAAAUUCAUUAAAAGUAAUUAUUAAUGGUAUCCGUCCCCUCUAUUAGUGUACUUUCAUUCCCCGCCAGAUGUCUCCUCCUUUCAUAAUAUUCUAGCAUCGUAGGAUAAAUAUACAUAUAUUACGCGUACUAUAAUCAGUUUCGUGCUUUUUAUUCGAAUUCUAUUAUAUUCUGUAUUAUAUUCAAAAAAAUUAUACUUGAUGUAAUUAUAUAUUUGAAAUUUGUAUAUAUUUGAAAUUUUCAACUAAAAAGUAAAGUAAAAUAAAAAAAAAAAAAAAUAUAGAGAGAGAAAAUUAAAUGGAAGCAAUAAUACUUUGAAAUUCAAUUUUGCUGAUACAAAAUUUUCAGCAAUAAAAUAAAUUCGUUCUGAUUCAAUCCUAUAAUUUUCAAUGAUUCUAGGACUUUUGAAAAUUCUAGUUAUAAGCUUUUAUGUUUGAACAGCACUUAUUCCCGUGAUCACGGAUAAAAUUAUUAAAAAGUUAUUUAAAUUCAUGAGAAUAACAAUGAUACUUGAGCCACGGCAUUAUGUGUGGGUGUGGCCUAGAAAUUGAUGCCCUUAAUUAUAAAAUAUUAUCUGUUUCAUAAAUGCAAUUUCAUAAAUGCACCGUCUCCCUCCUUGGAUCAAUAACUUACUCUCCGUUCUCCUCUUUAUAAUUAUCUUUAAAUCCAAUAUUUUCCCCUUCCCUCCGACUUCAUUGAAAUUUCAUUUAAAUAAUCUCAAAACUUAUUCAAAGCUUGUUAAAAUUCAACAGAAUGAAAUAGGGUCUUUAAUGCACAUAAGAAAAGUUCACCGAAAGACAGUGCCAUUUGUUUGAAAGAAAGUCCGGCUCACCCACCGAAUAACCACAAAAUACAAGUGACACACGAAGGGUUACGAAGCGUCACGAAGUGACCCGAAUAAGGUUCUACGGGACGUUAAUAAGUAUAUGUAUACUAACCACGACCUCAUUCGAACUUUUACAAGCCAGUGUAUACGGACGAUUCCCAUACCUGUCUAAUGUCCAAUUAUAAAUAUUACAAUCUCCAGUAUGAUGGAAAAAGUUUCAUUCUUUCGAUAGUGUAUCAAGUUAGAAAUUUUAUAAUCUAAAUGAAUAUGUCAGUACAAGAUAUUUCUCUUAUAUUCAAUUCAUAGAGAGAAGUCAGGUCGGAACAAACCAAAUAAAUUAUUCAUAUGUCAUAAUAUAUAUAUUUCAAGAAUUUUACUUCUCAAAUGCUUUCAACAAAUUCACAUAAUUCAUGACAAUUUAAUGCGUGUAAGUUGAUAAUAACGUUAUACAUUUUUAUAAAAACUUUCUAUAAACUCGCAAUACAAUACUUCUAACUAUUUUACAUAGAAAUUAUCAUCGGAAAUUUUGUUGAAAACAUAGUUUUGUCAUAAUUUAGCGUAAUUAUACGCCAAGUA